RNAcentral lists this ribosomal RNA (445 nucleotides) under uncultured bacterium. RNAcentral describes it as "bacterial SSU rRNA". It matches the Rfam family "Bacterial small subunit ribosomal RNA", at positions 28 to 456 of the family's 1533-position model. The record is from RNAcentral.
GAUGAACGCUGGCGGCGUGCUUAACACAUGCAAGUCGAACGGGAAUUACUUUAUUGAAACUUCGGUCGAUUUAAUUUAAUUCUAGUGGCGGACGGGUGAGUAACGCGUGGGUAACCUGCCUUAUACAGGGGGAUAACAGUCAGAAAUGGCUGCUAAUACCGCAUAAGCGCACAGAGCUGCAUGGCUCAGUGUGAAAAACUCCGGUGGUAUAAGAUGGACCCGCGUUGGAUUAGCUGGUUGGUGGGGUAACGGCCCACCAAGGCGACGAUCCAUAGCCGGCCUGAGAGGGUGAACGGCCACAUUGGGACUGAGACACGGCCCAGACUCCUACGGGAGGCAGCAGUGGGGAAUAUUGCACAAUGGGGGAAACCCUGAUGCAGCGACGCCGCGUGAAGGAAGAAGUAUCUCGGUAUGUAAACUUCUAUCAGCAGGGAAGAUAGUGACG